AGAGUUUGAUCAUGGCUCAGAUUGAACGCUGGCGGCGUGCCUAACACAUGCAAGUCGAGCGGUAACAGGCGUAGCAAUACGUGCUGACGAGCGGCGAACGGGUGAGUAACGCUUCGGAAUCUGCCCAAUGGUGGGGAAUAACCAGCCGAAAGGUUGGCUAAUUCCGCAUGAGCCCUACGGGGGAAAGCGGGGGAUCGCAAGACCUCGCGCCGAUGGAUGAGCCGAAGCCGGAUUAGCUAGUUGGUAGGGUAACGGCCUACCAAGGCGACGAUCCGUAGCUGGUCUGAGAGGACGACCAGCCACACUGGGACUGAGACACGGCCCAGACUCCUACGGGAGGCAGCGGUGGGGAAUAUUGGACAAUGGGGGAAACCCUGAUCCAGCGACGCCGCGUGUGUGAAGAAGGCCUGCGGGUUGUAAAGCACUUUUAGUGGGGAUGAAAAGCUCAGGGCUAACACCUCUGGGUCUUGACCUAACCCACAGAAAAAGCACCGGCUAACUCUGUGCCAGCAGCCGCGGUAAUACAGAGGGUGCAAGCGUUAAUCGGAAUUACUGGGCGUAAAGCGUACGUAGACGGUUGGAUAAGUCGGAUGUGAAAGCCCCGGGCUCAACCUGGGAAUGGCAUUCGAGACUGUUCAGCUAGGGUGCGGAAGAGGGAAGCGGAAUUUCCGGUGUAGCGGUGAAAUGCGUAGAUAUCGGAAGGAACACCAGUGGCGAAAGCGGCUUCCUGGUCCAGCACCGACGUUCAGGUACGAAAGCAUGGGGAGCAAACAGGAUUAGAUACCCCAGUAGUCC
This 795-nucleotide ribosomal RNA is filed under the name uncultured bacterium. Its description in RNAcentral is "bacterial SSU rRNA". It matches the Rfam family "Bacterial small subunit ribosomal RNA", at positions 8 to 796 of the family's 1533-position model. The record is from RNAcentral.